This 253-nucleotide ribosomal RNA is filed under the name uncultured bacterium. RNAcentral's name for it is "partial 16S ribosomal RNA". It matches the Rfam family "Bacterial small subunit ribosomal RNA", at positions 524 to 776 of the family's 1533-position model. The record is from RNAcentral.
UACGGAGGGUGCAAGCGUUAUCCGGAUUUACUGGGUUUAAAGGGUGCGUAGGUGGGUAGGUAAGUCAGUGGUGAAAUCUUCAAGCUUAACUUGGAAACUGCCAUUGAUACUAUUUAUCUUGAAUACUUUGGAGGUAAGCGGAAUAUGUCAUGUAGCGGUGAAAUGCUUAGAUAUGACAUAGGACACCAAUUGCGAAGGCAGCUUACUACACAGUGAUUGACACUGAGGCACGAAAGCGUGGGGAUCAAACAGG